This 395-nucleotide unclassified non-coding RNA is filed under the name soil metagenome. RNAcentral describes it as "partial contains 5.8S ribosomal RNA, internal transcribed spacer 2, and large subunit ribosomal RNA". The stretch from base 1 to 120 matches the Rfam family "5.8S ribosomal RNA", at positions 35 to 154 of the family's 154-position model. The record is from RNAcentral.
GAUGAAGAACGCAGCGAAAUGCGAUAAGUAAUGUGAAUUGCAGAAUUCAGUGAAUCAUCGAAUCUUUGAACGCACCUUGCGCCUUUUGGUAUUCCGAAAGGCACACCUGUUUGAGCGUCAUGAAUACCUCAAUCUCCAUCUUUUCUUCGGAUUGAUGGGUGACUUGGAUGUUGAGCCCUGCUGGUAUGCUAUAUCAGCUGGCUUUAAACUUAUUAGCCGGCUCUGUACUGGAUCGGUUUGACUCGACGUGAUAAUAUUAUCGUUGAGGAUGCAGGUCUCAUGCAGCCGGAAAGUAUCAAAGCAGCUUCUAGCUUGCCUUUAGUGCACUUUUACAUUUUAGACCUCAGAUCAGGUGGGACUACCCGCUGAACUUAAGCAUAUCAAUAAGCGGAGGA